Non-coding RNA from Myotis lucifugus (little brown bat), 76 nucleotides. Lineage: Eukaryota; Metazoa; Chordata; Mammalia; Chiroptera; Vespertilionidae. The record is from Rfam.
AGAAGUUCUUGGGUGACACACCCUGGAAUUGGGCUCCCUCCUCUCUGGUUCCAGGAUGUGUCACACAAGAACUGCC